This 263-nucleotide long non-coding RNA is filed under the name Homo sapiens (human). RNAcentral's name for it is "HSALNT0065515". The record is from RNAcentral. Lineage: Eukaryota; Metazoa; Chordata; Mammalia; Primates; Hominidae.
CUCAGUUGUGGUCAGACUCCUCCUCUGCUUCACGGAGCCACUUGAAGAAGGCUGUGACAGAUUUAAGGGCCACACCCUUGCCCUGCUGCUCAGCGGGGUCCUUGCUACUCUCCCAACUGUAGAAGGCAUCCUCCUUCACCACGUCCUCGUCAUACAGUGCGUCAAAGAACAUCCGCAAAGGGCCUGGAGGGCGUAGAGCGCCUGUAGCUCCUUCUGCUCGUCACACAGGUAUUUCUGCAGCAGCUUCGCUCGCGCUUUCAGCA